Solanum stenotomum is the source of this 1796-nucleotide long non-coding RNA. RefSeq lists it as uncharacterized. Lineage: Eukaryota; Viridiplantae; Streptophyta; Magnoliopsida; Solanales; Solanaceae. The record is from RefSeq and is a predicted model, not a curated record. The transcript has 2 exons.
GAUUUUUUUUUUUGGAGACCAAAGAGGACCCUAAAUGUUUUGGGAAUUUUUGGUUCAAUAGUUCAAAAUUUUCAUUGCUUUUGUGGUUUGUUUGAGUUGAAGGAGGUGGUGGUCGUUUCCGUCAAACUUGACGUCUGGUUCGCUGCCCAGAACCAGGUAAUCUUCUCUUUAUUUCAAUGUUUCGUGCACUCUCAAUUAUGUUUUGCUCGUUGGAAUCAUGUUUGGUAUUAGCUGCUUUAGCAUAGAAAAAUAAAUUGUUAUUUUCCUCAUUAUCUUAAGUGUUCUUUUGUUGUUGUUGUUUAUUCCGAGCAAAAAUUAAUUUUGGCUUAGUUAUUUUUUUUUUGUUUUCUUAUGAAGUAUGAUCUUGUUCAAGUUACUUAUUUGAACCCGCCUGUUUUACAUUUCCUUCAUGGUUAUUUCCAUAUACUUGAGAAAAUGUGUAGAUGAUUCCUUCGCUUAGCCGAGUUCGUAAAUCUAUGUGAAAUAUGUGCUUCUAGUUACCUUAAUUCUUAUUCAACUUUGAAAUCCAUGUUAUAUAGUUGUUGAUCGAUAUAGUUACGGAAGGUUUCCUUCCUUCCAUUUACCCUCUUUUGAAUGCAUAUAAUUAGAAAUAUAAGUUGUAUACUCUUUAACAUUGGGUUGUUUGGUAUAAAAAAUGCUAUAUUGAGCUUGUUGGAGUCUUUGGAUUUUUUAAAAAAAUUGCUUCUUUCAAAUAUAUAUUUAUCCUCCUAGUUUAAGAUAUAAGAUGCAUAUGCUUGACACGAAAAUUGCAUUUUAGAUUGGAUUAAUAGCUUAGGUUUUCUGGGAAAGACAUAUUUUCAAGUCUCAAUUAGAUUAAUUGUUGUGGUCUGGUUACUGCCUCUCUUAAAUACUUUCCAUUUCUUUGAAAUGUUGGAAUUUGUUAAGCUUUCCCAGCAACUCAUGUUGUGUGAACUCAUGUUUCAAAUUACGUUUCCUCUCACUUUCUAUGUGUUAAAUAUAUUAAGAUAGCUAUAUAUAUGUAUGUUUAGUAUUCUUGCCCUUCUUAGAUGGUUACCUUAACCUUUUUUCUUUAGGUACUCUCAAGUGUUAUGGUAAAAAUUCAAUUGUCCUUUUCCUUAUCUAAUAUUCUGAUAUUCUUAUCACUUAAGUAUGUGUUUGGAAUUUAUGAUUGUGUUGUUUCUUGGUUUGAAUGUGGAAGAAUUGUAUUAGGUUUGGAAAUUAAUUGUCUUUGUUUGUUUCUGUUGGUUUCUUCCAUUGUUUGACAUAUCUAACUUGCAUUACUAUGUAUUGUUUGAGUUUGUUUACGUGUUAAACUAAUGUUACCCCCUUGUUAAUGUGCUAAUCUUUUAUUCCUUUAUUUCUUGGUGCAUGAACACUCUCUCGUUGAGUCCAAUUUGGACUCCCAUCUCUUGCAUUUUCCUCUCUUCGAGUCCUCCUUCAAGUCGUGAAAGAGAAGUUAUUUUUAUUGGGUGAAAAAUCCAAGAAAUGAGGCAGAUUGCAGCAGUCCUAAAGGGCUGAAAUUUGAGUAUUUUGGACUUAAAAGCUUGGUAAAAUGACCAGCAGCAGUAGAGACCUCAAAAAGGCCGAAAAAGGAGAAACAAAAUUGGGUUAAAACCCCCUAAGGGAUCAAGCCGCAACACAACAAUUUCAGCCCCGAAAUGAUCGAAUGUGGGCUGGAAUUUCCAGUUUUUGACUCACUGUUCAUGUUACUUCCUCUUAUUAUUUUAUUUGUGAUGGCUAACAUUUUCUUAAUCUAGAUGAAAUUCCCAUGGAUCUCUUUCAGUUUAUUUUUAUCAAAGUUUUCUUUAUUAUAA